UAUUGGUCAAUGGGCGGGAGCCUGAACCAGCCAAGCCGCGUGAGGGAAGAAGGUACAGCGUAUCGUAAACCUCUUUUGUCAGGGAACAAAGGCGGGGACUAGUCCCCGGAUGAGGGUACCUGAAGAAAAAGCAUCGGCUAACUCCGUGCCAGCAGCCGCGGUAAUACGGAGGAUGCGAGCGUUAUCCGGAUUUAUUGGGUUUAAAGGGUGCGUAGGCGGGCUUUUAAGUCAGCGGUAAAAAUUCGGGGCUCAACCCCGUCCGGCCGUUGAAACUGGGGGCCUUGAGUGGGCGAGAAGAAGGCGGAAUGUGUGGUGUAGCGGUGAAAUGCAUAGAUAUCACGCAGAACCCCGAUUGCGAAGGCAGCCUUCCGGCGCCCUACUGACGCUGAGGCACGAAAGUGCGGGGAUCGA
Molecule: ribosomal RNA, 411 nt
Filed under: uncultured bacterium
Lineage: Bacteria
Description: bacterial SSU rRNA
Rfam family: Bacterial small subunit ribosomal RNA
Source: RNAcentral